Molecule: long non-coding RNA, 2606 nt
Organism: Limulus polyphemus (Atlantic horseshoe crab)
Lineage: Eukaryota; Metazoa; Arthropoda; Merostomata; Xiphosura; Limulidae
Exons: 2
Source: RefSeq, a predicted model, not a curated record
UUAAAAUGCAUAUUUAAAAUGUUUAUGAUUUUUAUAGGUUUAAAUUGUUGUAGUUUGGCUUACGAAAAUGUCUAAGCAAGAUGGCGUCAUUCACGUGUGCUAGGGUAAAUGUUUGGAAUUUAUACAGGAAAGUCGCCCUAUGAUAACAACAGAGCACCAUGGGAACAUGUUGAUGGUGAUGGGAUAAUGAAUAAAAGAAAAAAUUGGAAAGGAAAAUUGAAAAUAAACUACAAAAAGAAGUUUGAAAACUAUUCUACGAAAAUUUAAAAGAUUCAUCUACCGACUCAUCGACGAGUUUCACCGACUUCCACGCUACAAGACAUCCUCAACUCAAGCCCCACAUCAUCUCCGUGCUACUCUGACGAGUUUCACCGACUUCCACGCUACAAGACAUCCUCAACUCAAGCCCCACAUCAUCUCCGUGCUACUCUGACGAGUUUCACCGACUUCCACGCUACAAGACAUCCUCAACUCAAGCCCCACAUCAUCUCCGUGCUACUCUUCUCUUCUUCUCUUCUCUAGCGUUGAAUCUUGUUAGCAGCUCAUGAGGGGUAUUUCGUCGCUUUUCCGGACAGCUUGAGGUAACAAGUCGCGUGAAAAUUAUUUGACCUCCAAAAGUCAAGAAGUUCAAUACAUUUUUUGUUACAGCUCCUAUCAUCUGGCCACAAAGUGGGGUGAAGAGAAGCAGAGGUUUCUGAACGCCCCUGGUUAUCUUUCAGGCCCCGGAGAGAUGCUUAACCAAAAUAUCCACCACGGAACGGAUUGGAUUACAGUUUAUGUAUUUUAUGAAGGUGAAGUAUAACUAAUCAAACAUUGUUAUUGGUUUGGAUAUGUUCAACUGUUUGGAAUUACAACUUUAAGGUUCUUCUGAAUAUAUUUUUAAUAUUUAGUUUUGUACAAGUUCCAGAAUGUAACACAUGUAUGGCAUUACUUUAGUUUCUUUAAGUUGUAAAUACUUGUGUCAAAGCUUACGUCAAAUCCGAGAAUAUCACUUGUGUUAAUAGGUUUUCAGUCUCAGGAAAUAGUGUUCACUGCUAAUGAAGAUGGCAAUAUAGGGAUACUACACUAGUAAUUUUAACCCCUUCUCCGUUGUUAUUAACAACCAGAUAAUGGUGGAAGAACUUGAAUGUGAGUAAUCGCCAUACUAACUUGUGAGAGUUGCAGUCACUAGGCAAUAACCCAGGAGGUAUUAUGGCACUAGGGUAAUUGAGUACAGGUCCAAUAUAACAUCUUUUAGAAAAGGGACUUCAUAGAUGCUUGGGAGUCAUUUUCUCAGACAGUAAUAUGUAUGUAUGUAUAUAUCCAUGUCUGUUAAAAGAGCACAUGAAUCACUUGUAUUAAUUUAUUACACACUCGAAGUCUUAAACUCUUUUCCCAAAGAAGAUUUAACUGUAGCUGUCCAGGUUACAACUUUCAUCUAUAUAUAACUGAUCAAGCUUUUGAACUUUAAGAAACUGAGUCAACCAAGUAUUUUCAGUCUUGACAUUUUCGUUUUUGAUAUAAGUCCAGUUUUUGAACCUUCUGGCUAUCUUAUUUUUGUUUUAAGCUUGUCCUGUUAGAAAGUCCCAACUCCCUCCAUAUAAACACAAAUAUACGAUACCCUAUAACCCAAGUACUUUCAAAUUGGGCCUUUCUUUUUUUAGGGGAACAUAUUAGAUAUGUAAAAACGACUGCUAUUCUUGGACAGAGAUUUCUGUAAUCUUCUAGAGAUGUCAGUAACACUGUGAAAUACCCUAGAGUGGAAUGUCUCUAAAUAGAGUGAGCAGAGGAAGACUAAUUAUACUAUACACACAGAUGUAUAUUUAUAUAUCUUUGAAAUACUAAUUUUGUGUACAUAUGUAUAAUUAAAAUAAGCUCAAAACAUGCAGUGCAAAAAAUUAGUAUUUACACAUAUAAAAGGUACACUAAGUCAUGUCCGGAAAUAUGAUGUUUGCUGGUCUGUUUUUAUACAUGUACACAUCAUUGUGAAAGAUUGUUUUAUGUUUUAUACGCCUCUUUGUUAAGGGGUAUUAUUAUUAUUCUAUACAAUGUGUAUGUUAAAGGGCAUUGCUUAUCUUUCCAAUCUAAGUAUUGUGCUGUUAAAUGUUUGGCCAAACCAUGGGUAUGAAAUUUCCAGAUACAUGGUUGAUUCGCGAUAUAUUAUUUUACCCCUUACAGGAUUAAAUUUAAAGUAGUGCGUAAAUGAGACAGUCUGAAAGUAAAGGGGAGGAAAAAAUACUGUAUUUGAAAAAAAAUUGUGUUUUUCCACUAAGGUGCACAUAUGUUGUAAACCCAAUCCAAGGACACUUUUAUAUAAAAACAACAACAUAUACCUGUACUCACCAUAAUUCCAGAUACAGGGAAUACUGGAAUAGCUUGCUGAAUGAGUGCCAGUUGCAUUUCUCUUCUCUAAUGAAUGUAUCUGUUUUAAGGUGUUUUUGUUGGUAAAAAAAAAACAGGAAAAAUUUCUCUAACAUAUUCAAGGUCGUAGCUAUGGAAACUGCACCAGUGUCGUCACAUGACGAUGCUAUGUCUAAGUUUAUAGUAAGAAUAAAAUAUGUCGAAAUUUUUAUUUCUAAUGUAUAUCUGUUGCAGAUUACAUAAUAAAUUUAAGAAAUUAAAUGGAA